Oncorhynchus keta (chum salmon) is the source of this 1020-nucleotide long non-coding RNA. RefSeq lists it as uncharacterized. Lineage: Eukaryota; Metazoa; Chordata; Actinopteri; Salmoniformes; Salmonidae. The record is from RefSeq and is a predicted model, not a curated record. The transcript is spliced from 3 exons.
GGGGACUGCGGGUCAGGAAUUCUCUUCCUCCUCCUGGCUGUACCUCCUCAGCGACGUCAAUGCAUCCUUCACAGAGUGGAACAAGAUGUUCUUUACCUGGGUAGAAGACAGAGAGGAGAGGUUAAACAGGAGGGAGAGAGAGGAGAGGUUAAACAGGAGGGAGAGGACAGAGAGGAGAGGUUAAACAGGAGGGAGAGAGAGAGGAGAGGUUAAACAGGAGGGAGAGGACAGAGAGGAGGGGUUAAACAGGAGGGAGAGAGAGGAGAGGAGGGGUUAAACAGGAGGGAGAGAGAGGAGAGGUUAAACAGGAGGGGAGAGGACAGAGAGGAGAGGUUAAACAGGAGGGAGAGAGAGAGGAGAGGUUAAACAGGAGGGAGAGACAGAGAGGAGAGGUUAAACAGGAGGGAGAGACAGAGAGGAGAGGUUAAACAGGAGGGAGAGACAGAGAGAGAGAUGGAGAUGAGGGAGAGACAGAGAGGAGAGAGAGAGAGACGGAGAGGACAGAGAGGAGAGGUUAAACCGGAGGGAGGGACAGAGAGAGAUGGAGAGGAGGGAGAGACAGAGAGGAGAGGUUAAACAGGAGGGAGAGACAGAGAGAGAUGGAGAUGAGGGAGAGACAGAGAGAGAUGGAGAGAGGGAGAGGACAGAGAGGAGAGGUUAAACAGGAGGGAGAGAUACUUUAAAAUAUACGUACACCUUUAUUGGCCCAAUAGUUAAAUAAAUAAAGUUGCACUUUGCAGAAAUUGCUCCUCCAUUUCCUGGUUGCUAAAACUAAGUUUGUCUAAUUUCAGGUUGUAACAAAAUAAGACACAAUUCUCAAAACCGCUGUGAUUGGUUACCACUUUACUGCUGUGAAAUAUAUUUUCCAGAACCAAGAAUAUUGGUUACCACUUUUACUGGACACCCAGCGUCAUAACCUGUUAUAUAUCUCAUAUAUAUAUAUACAGUUUGACCCAAGACCCCUGUCCUGGUCCCCUGUACCCCUGUCCUGGUCCCCUGUGCCCCUGUCCUGUUCCCCUG